Molecule: ribosomal RNA, 484 nt
Filed under: uncultured bacterium
Lineage: Bacteria
Description: partial 16S ribosomal RNA
Rfam family: Bacterial small subunit ribosomal RNA
Source: RNAcentral
AGUGAACGCUGGCGGCAGGCCUAACACAUGCAAGUCGAGCGGCAGCGGGUCCUUCGUGAUGCCGGCGAGCGGCGGACGGGUGAGGAAUACAUCGGAAUCUGCCCUGUCGUGGGGUAUAACCUCGUGAAACUUAGGCUACUACCGCAUACGACCUACGGGUGCAAGCUGGGGAUCGCAAGACCUCGCGCGACAGGAUGAGCCGAUGUCCGAUUAGCUAGUUGGCGGGGUAAAGGCCCACCAAGGCGACGAUCGGUAGCUGGUCUGAGAGGAUGAUCAGCCACACUGGGACUGAGACACGGCCCAGAAUCCUACGGGAGGCAGCAGUGGGGAAUGUUGGACAAUGGGGGCAAGCAUGAUCAAGACAGGCCGCGUGGGUGAAGAAGGCCUUCGGGGUGUAAAGACCUUUUGUGGGGGAAGAAAGCGUCUGGGCUAAGACGCAGGGCGGAUGACGGUACCGGAAGAAUAAGCACCGGCUAACUUCGUG